AACCGUAAUGCCAUUAAUUCUGGUGUUGCGGGGAAACAGGACUGUUACUUUGAAAAAAUUAGAGCGUUUAAAGCAGGCUAGCGCCUGAAUACAUUAGCACGGAAUAAUGAAAUAGGACGUUCGAACCUAUUUUGUUGGUUUCUAGGAUUGACGUAAUGAUUAAUAGGGAUAGUUGGGGGCAUUAGUAUUCAAUUGUCAGAGGUGAAAUUCUUGGAUUUAUUGAAGACUGACUACUGCGAAAGCAUUUGCCAAGGAUGUUUUCAUUAAUCAAGAACGAAAGUUAGGGGAUCGAAGACGAUCAGAUACCGUCGUAGUCUUAACCAUAAACUAUGCCGACUAGGGAUCGGAUGAUGUUAAUUUUUUAAUGACUCAUUCGGCGCCUUACG
RNAcentral lists this ribosomal RNA (386 nucleotides) under uncultured Glomeromycotina. Its description in RNAcentral is "SSU rRNA". It matches the Rfam family "Eukaryotic small subunit ribosomal RNA", at positions 708 to 1092 of the family's 1831-position model. Lineage: Eukaryota; Fungi; Glomeromycota. The record is from RNAcentral.